AUAUUCACCCUUUCCCGUAGGAUCUGGCCAGUGACUUAGGAGAUCGUGAGUUGAGUUAACUGAGGGCUCGGCGUGCUACAGAGAGAGUAUGCCCAGAAUUAAUGCUCCCGGUUGCACGUGGUUCCCAAGGGGAAGUCCAAGGGGGCUAAAGCUAGGCUUAGGAAGUUGAAGAUCAGGAUAUAUGCUGCAACACCAAGUAAGUUAGUCCUUUAUACGUGCAUGCAGGCGAGGUUUCUUGCAAUACCAAUCAUUUGUGAAAAAAAUCUGUCCUAUAAGCCACUUGUGAGGCUGAGGUACCCAUCUCAGAGCUCGGUGUCAACAGAGUUUGCCAGGGUAGGCGACUCACUUGGAGGCAGCCCAGACAAAUUUUCACAGAACACAAGAGUUAGUAGAUUUGAGGUAAUAUGCAACAAAUGAUGGUAAUUUAGGGGGUUGGGAUUUUUCAGGGACUCUGCACUCUUGUAGACACACAUCAAUGGGUUCGGUGGUUACUUUAUGAUGAAGGUCAGGAAGUCUUUUUCUAAGUGAUGCAAUAUUCCAGCUUAAUAUAGAAAGUUUAUACAAGUUUUGAUCCAUUAUAGUAGUCCUGGGAUCAUCUCGAGUUUCUCAGCAUAAUGAAAAAAUUGUUCAUAUAAAUAGCAGACCUUAUCAAUGUCAACAGUGCUACCCUUGUCCAUGAGUUUUGUAAGUGCACUUCCAGUUGUAAGGCCUCGUGGGAGUCUUCGUAAACCCAGAGCACGACGCUGUUUAUGUAUGAUAGGUGACACCACCACUCACAUUCCCUCCUCCACUAACAUUACACGUGACACUACAACUGUCAUCACCAGCGGUGUAAUAAGAGUGGCGGUGAGAGUGAGUGAACGCGGCCAGUGAGCGCCAAAACUUCCCGCGUUUAUUAAGUUUGUUGCCACAACAUCACUGACACCUGCAGCACUCGCACCUGUAGCACACACCUGCUAUUGUAUAUACCUUCUGCUACUGAAGA
This is a non-coding RNA of Cherax quadricarinatus, 985 nucleotides long. The record is from RefSeq and is a predicted model, not a curated record. Lineage: Eukaryota; Metazoa; Arthropoda; Malacostraca; Decapoda; Parastacidae.